Non-coding RNA from Egretta garzetta (little egret), 159 nucleotides. The record is from Rfam. NCBI's taxonomy places the organism in Eukaryota, Metazoa, Chordata, Aves, Pelecaniformes, Ardeidae.
AUACUUACCUGGCACGGGAAACACCAUGAUCAGGAAAGUGGUUUUCCCAGGGCAAGGCUUAUCCCUGUACUCUGGGUGUGCUGACCCCUGUGAUUUCCCCAAAUACAGGAAACUUGACUGCAUAAUUUGUGCUAGUGGGGGACUGUGUUUGUGUUCUAA